Molecule: transfer RNA, 72 nt
Filed under: bacterium
Lineage: Bacteria
Also listed under: 2 other names
Description: tRNA-Arg
Rfam family: tRNA
About the family: Transfer RNA (tRNA) molecules are approximately 80 nucleotides in length. Their secondary structure includes four short double-helical elements and three loops (D, anti-codon, and T loops).
Source: RNAcentral
GCCCCCAUAGCUCAGUGGAUAGAGCAUUGGCCUCCGAAGCCAUGUGCGGAGGUUCGAUUCCUCCUGGGGGCG